Molecule: long non-coding RNA, 1366 nt
Filed under: Triticum aestivum (bread wheat)
Lineage: Eukaryota; Viridiplantae; Streptophyta; Magnoliopsida; Poales; Poaceae
Description: long non-coding RNA (TAES_LNC012381)
Rfam family: MIR1120/MIR1122 microRNA precursor family (bases 603-779)
Source: RNAcentral
AGCAAAGCUGUGAUAAAUGCAACAAGACAGUAAGGUUACAUGUACUAUCUAUCUGCCUCUCCCCCAAGUUCUCUGAAGGUGGCAAACUGUUGGGCUGAACUGUCUUGGUGCAGGGAAAUCCUAUGCCCUUAAUCAGGGUCCGAACCCUAUGGUAUAAUCGGAGUUUCGGUGUCUCGCUAGAACUAUGUUCCGUAUGUUAGGUUACCGCUGUAUAUUUGAUACCCUAUUCGGGGCAACGACUAGGAAGUUUUGCUACUCAUUUGCAUAUGGGAAGGGUGCGCUAGUUCUUAGUUCUUACCUCUAGUAGUUUAUCUCAUUCUGAAACGAGGUCACUUUAUUGACUGCCAUUGUGGUGCUACUACUUAGCAGUGAAGCUAGAUUCUGUAUGUUGUAGGCUUUAGCAGAACAAUCGAAUGGUACUCUACCUGUUAUGCUAUGUAUCAGUGGAUUUGCGGUAUGACACUAAUAGUAAUGUUGUCGGGUGGUGAAUGAAAUGUCGGUCGUUAUGGGUGAUUAAUUAAUUUUGCAACCACAGCAUGUUUGCACGUAUACUUAGACUUGAAAUAUUUCGAAAGAUAUAUGAAGUUCUGAAUGUUUCUUUUGACAUACUCCCUCCGUCCGGAAAUACUUGUCAUCAAAAUGAAUAAAAAGGGAUGUAUCUAGUACAUCCCUUUUUAUCCAUUUUGAUGACAAGUAUUUCCUUCUUAUUUAUUUUGAUGACAAGUAUUUCCUUUUUAUUCAUUUUGAUGACAAAUAUUUUCGGACGGAGGGAGUACUACAGCUCUUCUCCAUGUCGUUUCUUCUAUACAUCUUCUGGAUGGAUUUUUUAGGGUAUAUAUUUGUUCUGGAUACUGCGAGCUGAUACUGACAGAGCCCGUGGAACUCUAGUCGCCUUCCACUCUCCCAAGUAAAAUAAAUAAAUGGAACCUCUUACUAAAUUCUGAGAUCUCUAUUUUAUGUACUUUUGUUCAGUUUGUCGAAGUUUGAUGGGGACCACCCGUUUGUGAACAUCUUCUAUACCACUAGAGGCAAACAUGCAACAUGCUUCGUCGCACUGUUUUUCAUUCAUUUGUGGAUUAGCUCUUUUUUCUCUAGCAGAUUAUUACGGUUGGUUGUUGCCUUCUGAUUUUAUCUAUGUUGGCUUGGAUUUUAUUUAUUUUAUGGAGUAUUCUUUUUUGUCACUCGCAUAUCGUGUUGGAUUAUUGUUGAAGAUGAUAUUUGUUCUGAGAGGAAAGUGGAUUUGUUAAAUGUGUGGUUGUUAGGUUCUUACACGUUUCAACCCUAGUGUCAGCAGGUGGUGGUUGUGUGAGCCCUUGGGAGCUCUUAUUCUAUGUUGAAACAAUGGAAUUGCUGUCAUAUUGUUCAC